GUCCCUGUAGUGCAAUGGAUAGCGCAUAGGACUUUUAAUCCAAGGGUCGUGGGUUCAAAUUCCACCUGGGAUA
Trichonephila clavipes is the source of this 73-nucleotide non-coding RNA. The record is from the annotation of a GenBank genome assembly. NCBI's taxonomy places the organism in Eukaryota, Metazoa, Arthropoda, Arachnida, Araneae, Nephilidae.